UGCAAAUGAUUUUUUGACUCUUUCUGCAACGGACCCCAGACCAGUAACAUAACAAAGAAAAAAAUACGAGACACGAUACACAAACGCACCCUUACACACACACCAUGGACCUCUAUGUCCAGCACACAAAACACACACAGGACCUGUCCAGCAUUUACAGUUUUUUACACCCUAUGCCGCCCUAUGGCUAUGCCUAGCCUACGGCCAGUGCAAGAAAUUUGAUUUCGCAAUCAAUCGCACAUGUGUGUUGUUUGUACACAAAGCUGACGCUGAGCACGUGUGUAAUUCUACCACACAUCUCGAAGUAGGCCUACACAUUUACAAUGUGAACUUAAUUUAAACGAAGAAGAAUUUCCGAUGGCGACGAAGCGCGACAGCUUUUCAAAGCUCUCUAUUUUACAGAAGAGGAAAAUGCUGCAACAAAUGAAGAGGCCACCAGUCUACUACGAGCCGGAGUACGGCUCCAGGCCAGGCCCAGUCCCAGUCUGAUUAUUGAGUCGAGUUUUGGCGAUUUGACAUCAGCUACGGGUUCGAAGAUUGCAGCAAGCAACGACGUUGUGUUCGAACAGAUCCCGUUGGUGCAGAGAGAGGUGGCUACUCAACAGAAGUAGAUUUCCCUUUCAAAAAGUCGGAUUGUUACAUUUCUGAAGCCGAUAUUAACUUUAAUUCACCAGGUCAACCCUGAGGAAGAAAACGUCAGAUGGUAUGUUUUGCUGACAUAGAGACAGAGUCUGACUCCUCUCAUUGCUCUGAAGCUGUAUCAUGUACGUGUAGAAGGAACUUGAGCAAAAAGCGAAAUGCAGCCUGUCUGGAAUUAGCGGCAAUACUGAGAAUGAAAUGCUGCAGAAGUUAUUGUCUUCAUAAGAUAUAAAGAAUACAUGUAGAUGCAAGGCCCGCAGAGGAUUUCAGAACAAGACUCUAGCAGAUCAGAGGCUAUGGAUUUUGCAGUACCUUAUUGAACAUCACAACUUUGUAAAUAUGGAUGGAGACUCAUCCUUGGGAUUAAUAUGACCUGCUUAUGGAAGAUGGAGUCAGGGUUAGCAGGAUUGGUGACAUCUCGUCCAUCAAAUCACCAUCGUAAAGGACUUUGUUCUUUGUCUGUGAUGAUGUCAAUGGUGUGGCUUAGUGAAUUUGUCGAUAAGUUUGGAGAGAAACUGCCAACCAACAACAAAAUCCAUCUUCUUCAUGCCUUAUACAUGGAAAUGUGUAUCGGAUUAUGAAGGAGGAAGUAGAAGAGCAAGGAGGUUCUGUUUGUAGUCAGCAAUACUUCUUCCGCAAAUGGAGAAUGGAAAUGUCUCAUGUUACCAUUCCAAAGGUGAACCGGUUUUUGAAAUGCGACAUAUGCACCAAACUGAAAUCUUGCCUAGAGAAGACAACUGGCAGAGAAGAGAGACAAACUUUACUGCAAGAAAGAGAGUCACACCUUUUCCAGCAAAAGUAAAGGUAGGAUUUUUAAUGAAGGGCCACACACACGAGGACAUUGACCAGCUAUUCACCCGGGUUUCAACAUGCAUAACACGGCAAAACAUACCAACGCUUUCAUCUCUGCUUUGAUCCAACUUCGGAGUUCUCAAAUUAUGAACAACAACCUAUUCAAGCGGUCCAUCUAGGUACUAAGCAGAAAAGGCCUCAACAUCCAUUAUUAAAACUGGGAGAUAUGGUUGCAGUCUACUUAGCAGAGUUCAGUAAUAAGUGGCCGCGAGUGAGCAAAGUGUUAGAAAUGACUGGAGACAGUGUGAAGCUGCAUUAGUACUCAGGAUCAGAAACGUCCACGUGGAUAUUGCCUACCACAUCAGUUCGAGGACAGAAGGGUCAGCCGUACACGGGAGAAGUCUCUCUUCAAGAAGUAAUAUCUUUCCCCUACAGUCUCACUAAAACAAACAAAUUACCAUAGGAUAUCCAGCGUCACGUGAAGAAUACUUUGCAUGUUAGGUCUGUAUGAACAUACACUGUAUUCAUACCAAUUUGGAAUGAGUUUGUUUGUCCAGGACUCAAAAGCUGUAUGUCUAUAUGGAAGCCACUUGAAUUAUGUAUUUUUGUGAUAUUACAAUGUACCUAUAUUUUUCCACAUUGGAUAUGGUGAUAAUUUCUAGGGUUUAUCUUCACAUGAGUGUGAUCACCUACAUGUAUCUACAUUAAGAAGAGAUAAAUGCACAAUGAUUGAUAGAGAGUUGGUACCUGAAGUAGGUAAUGAUUUAACCCUAAAUAGACUGGGCUAUUUCUAUGCCUAAGAAGACUGGGGGGGAGGGCUGAUUCAGCCCCCCU
Lytechinus variegatus (green sea urchin) is the source of this 2265-nucleotide long non-coding RNA. RefSeq lists it as uncharacterized. NCBI's taxonomy places the organism in Eukaryota, Metazoa, Echinodermata, Echinoidea, Temnopleuroida, Toxopneustidae. The record is from RefSeq and is a predicted model, not a curated record. The transcript has 8 exons.